Molecule: ribosomal RNA, 287 nt
Filed under: uncultured Lachnospiraceae bacterium
Lineage: Bacteria; Bacillati; Bacillota; Clostridia; Lachnospirales; Lachnospiraceae
Description: partial 16S ribosomal RNA
Rfam family: Bacterial small subunit ribosomal RNA (bases 50-287)
Source: RNAcentral
AAGCACUUAGGAAAGAUUCUUCGGAUGAUUUCCUAUUUGACUGAGCGGCGGACGGGUGAGUAACGCGUGGGUAACCUGCCUCAUACAGGGGGAUAACAGUUAGAAAUGACUGCUAAUACCGCAUAAGACCACAGCACCGCAUGGUGCAGGGGUAAAAACUCCGGUGGUAUGAGAUGGACCCGCGUCUGAUUAGUUAGUUGGUGGGGUAACGGCCCACCAAGCCUUCGAUGGAUAGGGGUUCUGAGAGGAAGGUCCCCACAUUGGAACUGAGACACGGUCCAAACUCC